This 456-nucleotide ribosomal RNA is filed under the name Sclerocona acutella. Its description in RNAcentral is "partial large subunit ribosomal RNA". The record is from RNAcentral. Lineage: Eukaryota; Metazoa; Arthropoda; Insecta; Lepidoptera; Crambidae.
CUGAUAAAUUUAUUGAAGGGCUGCAGUAUUUUGACUGUACAAAGGUAGCAUAAUCAUUAGUCUCUUAAUUGGUGACUUGUAUGAAAGAUUGGAUGAGAUAUAUACUGUCUCUAAUAUAUAUAAAGAAUUUAAUUUUUUAAUUAAAAAGUUAAAAUAAUUUUAAAAGACGAGAAGACCCUAUAGAGUUUAAUAUUUAAAUUUAUUGAAUUUAUAUUUUAGUUUAAUAAUUAAAAUAAUUUAAAAUAUUUUAUUGGGGUGAUAAAAAAAUAAAAUUAACUUUUUUAUUUCUUAAUUCAUAGAUAAAUGAAUAAAUGAUCCAAAAUUUUUGAUUAUAAGAAAAAAUUACCUUAGGGAUAACAGCGUAAUUUUUUUUUUUAGUUCAUAUAAAAAAAAAAGUUUGCGACCUCGAUGUUGGAUUAAAAUAAAAUUUAUAUGCAAAAGUAUAAAAUUUUGAUC